RNAcentral lists this ribosomal RNA (443 nucleotides) under uncultured bacterium. Its description in RNAcentral is "partial 16S ribosomal RNA". It matches the Rfam family "Bacterial small subunit ribosomal RNA", at positions 338 to 795 of the family's 1533-position model. The record is from RNAcentral.
CCUACGGGAGGCAGCAGUGGGGAAUAUUGGACAAUGGAGGCAACUCUGACCCAGCAACGCCGCGUGAGUGAUGAAGGUCUUCGGAACGUAAAGCUCUUUUAGAAGGGAAGAAGAAGGUGACAGUAGCUUAGGAAGAAGCCGCGGAUAAAUACGUACCAGACGCGGCGGUAAGACGUGGGAGGGAAGCGUGAGCAGGAAUUACGGGGUGUAAAGGGAGAGUAGGUGGCAUGACAAGGGAGUCGUGAAACGCCGGAGCUUAACGGCGGAACUACUUUGAAAACUGGUCGACUUGAGUGCAGGAGGGGCAAGCGGAAUGCCUAGUGUAGCGGUGGAAUGCGUAGAUAUUAGGAGGAACACCAGUGGCGAAGGCGGCUUACUGGACUGUAACUGACAUUGAGGCUCGAAAGCGUGGGGAGCAAACAGGAUUAGAUACCCUUGUAGUC